Salmo salar (Atlantic salmon) is the source of this 571-nucleotide non-coding RNA. The record is from RefSeq and is a predicted model, not a curated record. Lineage: Eukaryota; Metazoa; Chordata; Actinopteri; Salmoniformes; Salmonidae.
CAGCUUCAGUAGGCUCUGACCAUCACAGAGAAGAUCCUUCACUCACCUCUCAACAGGGAAGACCCUUCACUCUCACCUCUCAACAGGGAAGACCCUUCACUCUCACCUCUCAACAGGGAAGACCAUUCACUCUCACCUCUCAACAGGGAAGACCCUUCACUCUCACCUCUCAACAGGGAAGACCAUUCACUCUCACCUCUCAACAGGGAAGACCCUUCACUCUCACCUCUCAACUCAACGUCCACUUGUCUUACUCUCCAGAGCAUUUCUCCUGAACUGCCAUGAUGAAGAGAAUGAAGCUGACCUUCAUUUUGGCCAUCUUACUUUUUCAACUGACCAUCUCGGUUGAAGGAGGGGGAUCUGCUUCUAAGCCAGCUCAACAGGCAGAUAAACAGUUUAGAUUUGGAGAUAUCAUUCGAACCAAAAUGAAGUGGAAAGAUAUGACCUAUCUGUCCGAAUCCAAAAAGAGGGGGAUCCCUCCAGGAUAUCACUUUGCAAUCUGGGUUGAUAACCCACCAACGAACGUUGUGAUGCCUAAUCGAAACAAUCGCACCAUUUUUCACUUUGAUGG